CUUCAAGCAGGAUCUUAGAAAUGGCUGCUCUGGAGAGUGCGCACACUCACAAUGCAAGUGUGUGAGAGGAGAGAGUGGGCUGGCCUCGUGAUGUUUCCCACACAGUACACAUUCCCUUCUGUGCACACAGUAUGAAGACCGUUCCCAGAGGGACUUUCCAAUCAGAAUCACAAACUAAUGAACUUUAUGGCUGAGAGGGAAAUUGGAAAAUGCCAGGGCCACUCUAAAAUGAGGUAAGCCACCAAGUUGUUAAGUUCCGAGGCAUCUGAGGCCAAGCACGAGAUCCACAGGCAGACAGCAGUGGGCAGACAUGGUUGCCAUUGCUACUGUCAAGGCAUUAGGGUGUGUGCCCACACCUCCUUUACUCAGCUUGGUGACAAGGCCCUUCACCUAUGGAGCCAGCUCACUCCUGGCUCUAAACAAGAGUCUGCAGCAGUUUCGUGAGGUGCUGCCAGUUCAAUGGCAAGUUUGUUAAGGCUAGACCCUGACCCCAGGACUGACAUUCUGAAGGAUAGGUGUGGGAAUCCUACCCAACCCCGAGCCCUGUCCACAACACUAAAUGAAGGCAUUCUUGCACAAAUCCCUUGACCUGUGUUCACUGCUGCCCCAGUAUCCAGUGAGGUGGACCUGGAAAUGGCUGCUGUGUUUAAAACAUGCAAGUAUUUACUGGCAUGCACAAGGGCCCGUGAAGAUGACAGUGAGGACAAAGCAUGCUGAUGGUGCUGAUGUGAGACACAGCCCAAAGAACCUGUAACUGUACAAUAUGGAGUUAGCCCCCAAACAAGAUGGUCAGAAACAGAACUAUAAGGAAAGACAGUGGAAUCAUUUACUUGGACUGAACUUAAAAUGAAGUUGCCCAACACCUGAAGAAAUGGCCAGAGGAGAUUAUCCACAUCGAUCAAACAUACAUGCAUGGAAUAACACAUCAAAGGCAGGAGAGUCCCCACUCAAAGCUAAUCAUCCUCGGAAGGCAGAGACAUUCCAGAGGAAAGGCAUAAAAGGACCAACAGGAACAGGACUGAGAGGAGAUGCCCCCCUCCAAACUCCAGACUGCAUCACCCAGGGAAAGCUGAAUGGUCCAUAAGGUCUAAGGUCUAUAGGUGGCCCUGACUACUCGUGUCCCAACACGCAUCACCAGCACUCACUCCAGGAAGAGCUUCCUAGCAAGCUCUGUGAGAUGAAAUGAACACCUAACGUCUUACGAGAGGUUGUGAUUCUUCUGCUCAAUAUUCCGCGGCCACUCCAAAGUAAGUCUGAAGCAGCCUGCCUACACAUGGAAACAGCCAAGGGAAAAUUCCCCAUUUCCUUCAACUACCAAUGCUGAGCUCUCUUCAGAGGUCAGGACCAUGCUGCACCCUCACUAGACCUAAAGGCAGAAAUGAUGCUUAGGAAUUCCCCCUUUCACACUACUGGCCAUGAAAGUCAACUUUCAGGCUUAUUUUAAACCACUGGCCUUUCUAGUGCACUCAAAAGUAAGAUUCUUGGUUUUAUGGGGAGUUUUUUGGUUUUGUUUUUGAUUGUUUGUUUGUGUAUGUGUGUGUCAAAAUAUCUAAAAGAAACCA
Long non-coding RNA from Mastomys coucha (southern multimammate mouse), 1562 nucleotides. RefSeq lists it as uncharacterized. The record is from RefSeq and is a predicted model, not a curated record. The transcript is spliced from 2 exons. NCBI's taxonomy places the organism in Eukaryota, Metazoa, Chordata, Mammalia, Rodentia, Muridae.